RNAcentral lists this ribosomal RNA (860 nucleotides) under bacterium MK-JP Aa4. RNAcentral's name for it is "bacterial SSU rRNA". It matches the Rfam family "Bacterial small subunit ribosomal RNA", at positions 63 to 904 of the family's 1533-position model. The record is from RNAcentral.
CGAGCGAACAGACGAGGAGCUUGCUCCUUUGACGUUAGCGGCGGACGGGUGAGUAACACGUGGGUAACCUACCUAUAAGACUGGGAUAACUUCGGGAACCGGAGCUAAUACCGGAUAAUAUUUCGAACCGCAUGGUUCGAUAGUGAAAGAUGGCUUUGCUAUCACUUAUAGAUGGACCUGCGCCGUAUUAGCUAGUUGGUAAGGUAACGGCUUACCAAGGCAACGAUACGUAGCCGACCUGAGAGGGUGAUCGGCCACACUGGAACUGAGACACGGUCCAGACUCCUACGGGAGGCAGCAGUAGGGAAUCUUCCGCAAUGGGCGAAAGCCUGACGGAGCAACGCCGCGUGAGUGAUGAAGGUCUUCGGAUCGUAAAACUCUGUUAUUAGGGAAGAACAAACGUGUAAGUAACUGUGCACGUCUUGACGGUACCUAAUCAGAAAGCCACGGCUAACUACGUGCCAGCAGCCGCGGUAAUACGUAGGUGGCAAGCGUUAUCCGGAAUUAUUGGGCGUAAAGCGCGCGUAGGCGGUUUUUUAAGUCUGAUGUGAAAGCCCACGGCUCAACCGUGGAGGGUCAUUGGAAACUGGAAAACUUGAGUGCAGAAGAGGAAAGUGGAAUUCCAUGUGUAGCGGUGAAAUGCGCAGAGAUAUGGAGGAACACCAGUGGCGAAGGCGACUUUCUGGUCUGUAACUGACGCUGAUGUGCGAAAGCGUGGGGAUCAAACAGGAUUAGAUACCCUGGUAGUCCACGCCGUAACGAUGAGUGCUAAGUGUUAUGGGGGUUUCCGCCCCUUAGUGCUGCAGCUGACGCAUUAAGCACUCCGCCUGGGGAGUACGACCGCAGAGGUUGAUACUCAA